GACGAACGCUGGCGGCGUGCUUAACACAUGCAAGUCGAACGGAAAGGCCCUGCUUUUGUGGGGUGCUCGAGUGGCGAACGGGUGAGUAACACGUGAGUAACCUGCCCUUGACUUUGGGAUAACUUCAGGAAACUGGGGCUAAUACCGGAUAGGAGCUCCUGCUGCAUGGUGGGGGUUGGAAAGUUUCGGCGGUUGGGGAUGGACUCGCGGCAUAUCAGCUUGUUGGUGGGGUAGUGGCUUACCAAGGCUUUGACGGGUAGCCGGCCUGAGAGGGUGACCGGCCACAUUGGGACUGAGAUACGGCCCAGACUCCUACGGGAGGCAGCAGUGGGGAAUAUUGCACAAUGGGCGGAAGCCUGAUGCAGCAACGCCGCGUGCGGGAUGACGGCCUUCGGGUUGUAACCCGCUUUCGCCUGUGACGAAGCGCGAGUGACGGUAAUGGGUAAAGAAGCACCGGCUAACUACGUG
Molecule: ribosomal RNA, 468 nt
Filed under: uncultured bacterium
Lineage: Bacteria
Description: partial 16S ribosomal RNA
Rfam family: Bacterial small subunit ribosomal RNA
Source: RNAcentral